CAUAAUCUCUGUACCACAUUGAGGAUGCCCAUUUUUUUCUGAUUUUGGAAACUGAGCAAGGUUGAGCCUGGUUAUUCCUUCAGUGAGUGACCACCAGAGAAGAUCAGAGAUCAGGU
Molecule: ribosomal RNA, 116 nt
Filed under: Pogona vitticeps (central bearded dragon)
Lineage: Eukaryota; Metazoa; Chordata; Lepidosauria; Squamata; Agamidae
Source: RNAcentral